RNAcentral lists this ribosomal RNA (303 nucleotides) under uncultured bacterium. Its description in RNAcentral is "partial 16S ribosomal RNA". It matches the Rfam family "Bacterial small subunit ribosomal RNA", at positions 507 to 807 of the family's 1533-position model. The record is from RNAcentral.
AGCAGUAGCCGCGGUAAUACGAGGGGGGCAAGCGUUGUUCGGAAUUAUUGGGCGUAAAGGGUGCGUAGGCGGCUUGACAAGUCUUGUGUGAAAUCUAUGGGCUCAACCCAUAGUCUGCACGGGAAACUGUCGGGCUUGAGAAUGGGAGAGGUGAGUGGAAUUUCCGGUGUAGCGGUGAAAUGCGUAGAUAUCGGAAGGAACACCUGUGGCGAAAGCGGCUCACUGGACCAUUUCUGACGCUGAUGCACGAAAGCUAGGGGAGCAAACAGGAUUAGAUACCCGCGUAGUCCCUGUCUCUUAUAC